ACCGUGCUGCGCAGUGCGUGAAUGCGGCUUUAUCUCGGUGGUCGAUGCUUCUUUGCAUAGGGAGCUGUCCCUGUUUUUGUCCAAUCGGUUCGCCCGGGGGGCUUAGAUAUUAACGGCACCCACCUGAUAUUCAGGACCUGCGAAGAUACUAUACGCACACGGCUGACGCGGCACACUU
This 178-nucleotide non-coding RNA is filed under the name Alcanivorax sp. RNAcentral describes it as "6S RNA". It matches the Rfam family "6S / SsrS RNA". From Rfam's summary of the family: E. coli 6S RNA was the first non coding RNA to be sequenced, but its function was unknown until recently. Lineage: Bacteria; Pseudomonadati; Pseudomonadota; Gammaproteobacteria; Oceanospirillales; Alcanivoracaceae. RNAcentral also lists the same sequence under 1 other name. The record is from RNAcentral.